Molecule: ribosomal RNA, 445 nt
Filed under: uncultured bacterium
Lineage: Bacteria
Description: partial 16S ribosomal RNA
Rfam family: Bacterial small subunit ribosomal RNA
Source: RNAcentral
GUGAGGAAUAUUGCGCAAUGGACGAAAGUCUGACGCAGCCAUGCCGCGUGCAGGAUGACGGCCCUAUGGGUUGUAAACUGCUUUUGUAUAGGAAGAAACUCGAAUACGUGUAUUUGAUUGACGGUACUAUAUGAAUAAGCAUCGGCUAACUCCGUGCCAGCAGCCGCGGUAAUACGGAGGAUGCAAGCGUUAUCCGGAUUUAUUGGGUUUAAAGGGUGCGUAGGCGGAAUAUUAAGUCAGUGGUGAAAUCCUGCAGCUUAACUGUAGCACUGCCAUUGAUACUGAGAUUCUUGAGUACGGUUGAGGUAGGCGGAAUGUGUAAUGUAGCGGUGAAAUGCUUAGAUAUUACACAGAACACCGAUUGCGUAGGCAGCUUACUGGUCCAUUAUUGACGCUGAGGCACGAAAGCGUGGGGAUCGAACAGGAUUAGAAACCCUAGUAGUCC